GGCUGGAUAGCAAAGUGGUAAUGCAGCGGAUUGCAAAUCCGCUAUACGUCAGUUCGAUUCUGACUCCGGCCUC
RNAcentral lists this transfer RNA (73 nucleotides) under Candidatus Fokinia solitaria. RNAcentral's name for it is "tRNA-Cys". It matches the Rfam family "tRNA". Rfam says of the family: Transfer RNA (tRNA) molecules are approximately 80 nucleotides in length. Their secondary structure includes four short double-helical elements and three loops (D, anti-codon, and T loops). Lineage: Bacteria; Pseudomonadati; Pseudomonadota; Alphaproteobacteria; Rickettsiales; Candidatus Midichloriaceae. RNAcentral also lists the same sequence under 1 other name. The record is from RNAcentral.